RNAcentral lists this unclassified non-coding RNA (228 nucleotides) under Hevea brasiliensis (rubber tree). Lineage: Eukaryota; Viridiplantae; Streptophyta; Magnoliopsida; Malpighiales; Euphorbiaceae. The record is from RNAcentral.
GUCAUAAAUAAAAUUGAUCAGCCCACUGCUGAUCCAGAUCGGGUAAAAACACAGCUCAAAUCUAUGUUUGACCUUAAUCCAAGCGAUGUACUAUUGACAUCAGCAAAAACGGGUCUAGGUCUAGAGCAUGUUCUUCCUGCUGCAAUAGAGAGAAUUCCUCCACCCCCUGGUAAAAACACUUCACCUUUGCGAAUGCUUUUGCUGGAUUCAUAUUAUGAUGAGUACAAA